AGCGAACGCUGGCGGCAGGCUUAACACAUGCAAGUCGAACGGGCACUUCGGUGCUAGUGGCAGACGGGUGAGUAACACGUGGGAACGUACCUUUCGGUUCGGAAUAAUACAGGGGAAACUUGUACUAAUACCGGAUACGCCUUCGGGGAAGGAUUAUCGCCGAUAGAUCGGCCCGCGUCUGAUUAGCUAGUUGGUGAGGUAAUGGCUCACCAAGGCGACGAUCAGUAGCUGGUCUGAGAGGAUGAUCAGCCACACUGGGACUGAGACACGGCCCAGACUCCUACGGGAGGCAGCAGUGGGGAAUAUUGGACAAUGGGCGAAAGCCUGAUCCAGCCAUGCCGCGUGUGUGAUGAAGGCCUUAGGGUUGUAAAGCACUUUUGUCCGGGACGAUGAUGACGGUACCUGCAGAAUAAGCCCCGGCUAACUUCGUGCCAGCAGCCGCGGUAAU
This 448-nucleotide ribosomal RNA is filed under the name uncultured bacterium. RNAcentral's name for it is "bacterial SSU rRNA". It matches the Rfam family "Bacterial small subunit ribosomal RNA", at positions 29 to 524 of the family's 1533-position model. The record is from RNAcentral.